AGCUCCAAUAGCGUAAAUUAAAGCUGUUGCAGUUAAAAAGCUCGUAGUCGGAUUUCGGGCAGUGGCUUGUGGUUCGGUUCCGUGCCGAUACUGCUUGCCGCGGCCUCCACGCCGACCGUCUUUUGGUGCACUUAAUUGUGCGUCAUAAGUGGCCGGAGCGUCUACUUUGAAAAAAUUAGAGUGUUCAAAGCAGGCCUGCUCGAGCCUGAAUGAUGGUGCAUGGAAUAAUGAAAGAGGACCUCGGUUCUAGUUUGUUGGUCUACGGAACUAGAGGUAAUGAUUAAUAGGAACGGACGGGGGCAUUCGUAUUGCGGCGUUAGAGGUGAAAUUCUUGGAUCGUCGCAAGACGGACUACAGCGAAAGCAUUUGCCAAGAAUGUUU
RNAcentral lists this ribosomal RNA (381 nucleotides) under uncultured eukaryote. Its description in RNAcentral is "SSU rRNA". It matches the Rfam family "Eukaryotic small subunit ribosomal RNA", at positions 587 to 969 of the family's 1831-position model. The record is from RNAcentral.